AUUGAACGCUGGCGGCAUGCUUUACACAUGCAAGUCGAACGGCAGCACGGGUGCUUGCACCUGGUGGCGAGUGGCGGACGGGUGAGUAAUACAUCGGAACGUAUCCUGAAGUGGGGGAUAACGCAUCGAAAGACGUGCUAAUACCGCAUAUACUCUGAGGAGGAAAGUAGGGGAUCGAAAGACCUUAUGCUUUUGGAGCGGCCGAUGUCUGAUUAGCUAGUUGGUAAGGUAAUGGCUUACCAAGGCAACGAUCAGUAGUUGGUCUGAGAGGACGACCAGCCACACUGGGACUGAGACACGGCCCAGACUCCUACGGGAGGCAGCAGUGGGGAAUUUUGGACAAUGGGCGCAAGCCUGAUCCAGCAAUGCCGCGUGAGUGAAGAAGGCCUC
Molecule: ribosomal RNA, 390 nt
Filed under: uncultured bacterium
Lineage: Bacteria
Description: bacterial SSU rRNA
Rfam family: Bacterial small subunit ribosomal RNA
Source: RNAcentral